RNAcentral lists this ribosomal RNA (212 nucleotides) under uncultured bacterium. RNAcentral describes it as "partial 16S ribosomal RNA". It matches the Rfam family "Bacterial small subunit ribosomal RNA", at positions 57 to 305 of the family's 1533-position model. The record is from RNAcentral.
GCAAGUCGAGCGAUAUAGCGGCAGACGAGAGAGUAAUAACAAGGAACUUACCCCUAAGUGAAGGAUAGCCACCCGAAAGGGUGGGUAAUCCUGCAUAACAUCGAAAGAUCAAAGCCUUCGGGCGCUUGGGGAGAGGCCUUGUUCCUAUCAGCUAGUUGGUGAGGUAAUUGCUCACCAAGGCGAUGACGGGUAGCUGGCCUGAGAGGGUGACC